CAUGCAAGUCGAGCGAACAGAUAAGGAGCUUGCUCCUUUGACGUUAGCGGCGGACGGGUGAGUAACACGUGGGUAACCUACCUAUAAGACUGGGAUAACUUCGGGAAACCGGAGCUAAUACCGGAUAACAUUUGGAACCGCAUGGUUCUAAAGUGAAAGAUGGUUUUGCUAUCACUUAUAGAUGGACCCGCGCCGUAUUAGCUAGUUGGUAAGGUAACGGCUUACCAAGGCGACGAUACGUAGCCGACCUGAGAGGGUGAUCGGCCACACUGGAACUGAGACACGGUCCAGACUCCUACGGGAGGCAGCAGUAGGGAAUCUUCCGCAAUGGGCGAAAGCCUGACGGAGCAACGCCGCGUGAGUGAUGAAGGGUUUCGGCUCGUAAAACUCUGUUAUUAGGGAAGAACAAAUGUGUAAGUAACUGUGCACGUCUUGACGGUACCUAAUCAGAAAGCCACGGCUAACUACGUGCCAGCAGCCGCGGUAAUACGUAGGUGGCAAGCGUUAUCCGGAAUUAUUGGGCGUAAAGCGCGCGUAGGCGGUUUCUUAAGUCUGAUGUGAAAGCCCACGGCUCAACCGUGGAGGGUCAUUGGAAACUGGGAAACUUGAGUGCAGAAGAGGAAAGUGGAAUUCCAUGUGUAGCGGUGAAAUGCGCAGAGAUAUGGAGGAACACCAGUGGCGAAGGCGACUUUCUGGUCUGUAACUGACGCUGAUGUGCGAAAGCGUGGGGAUCAAACAGGAUUAGAUACCCUGGUAGUCCACGCCGUAAACGAUGAGUGCUAAGUGUUAGGGGGUUUCCGCCCCUUAGUGCUGCAGCUAACGCAUUAAGCACUCCGCCUGGGGAGUACGACCGCAAGGUU
Molecule: ribosomal RNA, 860 nt
Filed under: Staphylococcus sp.
Lineage: Bacteria; Bacillati; Bacillota; Bacilli; Caryophanales; Staphylococcaceae
Description: bacterial SSU rRNA
Rfam family: Bacterial small subunit ribosomal RNA
Source: RNAcentral